UGGCUCAGUUGGUGGAGCAUGUGACUCUUGAUCUCAGGGUUGUGAGUUCAAGCCUCAC
RNAcentral lists this transfer RNA (58 nucleotides) under Felis catus (domestic cat). It matches the Rfam family "tRNA", at positions 8 to 63 of the family's 71-position model. Rfam says of the family: Transfer RNA (tRNA) molecules are approximately 80 nucleotides in length. Their secondary structure includes four short double-helical elements and three loops (D, anti-codon, and T loops). The record is from Rfam by way of RNAcentral. Lineage: Eukaryota; Metazoa; Chordata; Mammalia; Carnivora; Felidae. RNAcentral also lists the same sequence under 4 other names.